AGGUAAGAUCUGAACCCAGGACCUUCUACCUCUAGGCUUGGCUCUCAAUCCACUGAGCCACUUAGCCGCCCCUGUAGGCACUAAAUAUUGAGGCGGUUUAGGAAAGGUCUUUUGUAGAAAGUGAGACUUUAGUGGAGAUUUGAAGAAUGUCAGGAAAGCUAGGAGGCAGAGAUGAGGAGGGAGAUAAUUCCAAGCAUGGGGGACCCAGGCAGAGAGAAUGCAGGAUCAGCUGUUGGAAUGUUCUGAGUGAGGAAUAUUCUGGCUGUUUGGCCAGUAUCAUUGGGUCACUGAUGUGUAAGACUGGAAAGGUAGGAAAGAGUCAGAUCAUGAAGGAACUUAACAGCCAAAGAGAACAUUUUAUAUUUGCUCCUGGAGGUAAUAGGGAGCCACUGAAGUUUAUUGGGUAGGGGAGUGGCACGGUCAGUCCUGUGCUUUAGAAAGCUUGAUUUGGUAGCUGAUUGGAGGAUGGGGAAAGCCUGGAGACAGGCAGACCUAUCAGCAUCUCGUGCAAUGAUCCAGGUGUGAGAGAUGAGAGCCCACAUCAGGGUGGUAGCUGUGUUUGAGGACCCAAAGGGGUACCCAGGAGAGAUGUCAUGGAUGGAGAAUCAAGGAGCUUUGGUUGUGGGAGGUAAAGACUCCGGGGGAUCCCUAGGCUGGGAGCCAGGGGGACUGGCUGGACAGUAGUGCCACAGACAGUACCAGAAAGUUGGACUGAAAAGAGGGCUGUUUGGGGAAAGCUAAGGGCUUCAGUUUUGGCCAUGUCGAGUUUGAGAUGCUUUUAGAGAAGGCAGAAAUGGCACUAAAUCGAACAGAGAUGGGAAAGAAACUAGAUUAGACCAAAUGUUCCUAGAGCAGUGAGCAGCGGCAUGGCACAGUGCAUAGAGAGCCAGGUCUAGUCAGGAAGACUCAUCCUGAGUUUAAAUCCAGCCUCAGACACUGCCUAAGUGGGUGACCCUGGGCAAGUACUCAGCCCUGUUUGCCUCAGUUUCCUCAUCUGUACAAAGGGCUGGAGAAGAAAAGGGCAGAGCACUUCAGUAUUUCUGCCAAGAAAACAGCGAAUGGGAGCACAAAGAACAAUGACAACACUUCGAUGCAAACUAUCCAUAUGGCCACAGGAAUUCUGGAAUCAGCUGCAUUGACCCAAAUGAAGAGUUCUUUGUUGAAACCAGAAUUGGAGCCAAGGAAGUACAAGGACUCUCUGCCCCAUGAUCCCACUCUGUCUAUCCGAGUGUGCAGAAGGCAUCAUUUCUUCCUGAGAUCAGUGAACCACACUACAGGCAGCCCGGGCUGAAAAUGGAGUUUGAUUUCCCGUCUCCGGACUUUGUCUAAAGAACUUGUCUCCUUUGUCCAGGGAUUCGACCUCGGUUCCUCCAUCUCCUUAACCAUCCAGCAGCCAGCCGUGGUGGAAAUGGAGGGCCGUGUGCAAAUAAAUAAAUAAAUACACACAUACACACAUACAUAGAAACUCAAUCAAUUUCUCCCUUGCUUCC
Non-coding RNA from Monodelphis domestica (gray short-tailed opossum), 1490 nucleotides. The record is from RefSeq and is a predicted model, not a curated record. NCBI's taxonomy places the organism in Eukaryota, Metazoa, Chordata, Mammalia, Didelphimorphia, Didelphidae.